AUUGAACGCUGGCGGCAUGCCUUACACAUGCAAGUCGAACGGCAGCACGGGAGCAAUCCUGGUGGCGAGUGGCGAACGGGUGAGUAAUAUAUCGGAACGUGCCCAGUCGUGGGGAUAACGUAGCGAAAGCUACGCUAAUACCGCAUACGAUCUACGGAUGAAAGCGGGGGAUCGCAAGACCUCGCGCGAUUGGAGCGGCCGAUAUCAGAUUAGGUAGUUGGUGAGGUAAAGGCUCACCAAGCCGACGAUCUGUAGCUGGUCUGAGAGGACGACCAGCCACACUGGGACUGAGACACGGUCCAGACUCCUACGGGAGGCAGCAGUGGGGAAUAUUGGACAAUGGGCGAAAGCCUGAUCCAGCAAUGCCGCGUGAGUGAUGAAGGCCUUAGGGUUGUAAAGCUCUUUUACCCGGGAUGAUAAUGACAGUACCGGGAGAAUAAGCUCCGGCUAACUCCGUGCCAGCAGCCGCGGU
Molecule: ribosomal RNA, 472 nt
Filed under: uncultured bacterium
Lineage: Bacteria
Description: bacterial SSU rRNA
Rfam family: Bacterial small subunit ribosomal RNA
Source: RNAcentral